GAUGAAGAACGCAGCGAAAUGCGAUAAGUAAUGUGAAUUGCAGAAUUCAGUGAAUCAUCGAAUCUUUGAACGCAUCUUGCGCUCCUUGGUAUUCCGAGGAGCAUGCCUGUUUGAGUGUCAUUAAAUUCUCAACUACACUGAUUUUUUUUGGUUGGUGUAGAUUGGAUUUGGGGGAAUUUUUUGCGGGCUUUGUAAAAUGAAGUCGGCUCCCCUGAAAUUAAUUAGUGGUACCUUAGUAGAACUGUCUACAGGUGUGAUAAUUUUUCUACGCCUCAGAUGUCUGCAUGAAAAAGGUUAUGCUGCUUCUUAACCUCACUAAUGAUAAUCUUGACCUCAAAUCAGGUAGGACUACCCGCUGAACUUAAGCAUAUCAAUAAGCGGAGGA
Molecule: unclassified non-coding RNA, 385 nt
Filed under: soil metagenome
Description: partial contains 5.8S ribosomal RNA, internal transcribed spacer 2, and large subunit ribosomal RNA
Rfam family: 5.8S ribosomal RNA (bases 1-120)
Source: RNAcentral